Molecule: non-coding RNA, 2247 nt
Organism: Chlorocebus sabaeus (green monkey)
Lineage: Eukaryota; Metazoa; Chordata; Mammalia; Primates; Cercopithecidae
Source: RefSeq, a predicted model, not a curated record
AAGCGCUACGAGGAGAAACACACACACGUCUCCCCAAUCCCAGCAGUACAGUGGCCGAGGCGUGACCUGGAACUCAGCCAUCCUGCAGCCAGGCCGGACCCCGAGGGACAGUGAGCCUCACUCCAUUUCCCAGGAAGCUUCCUGCUGGCUCUGCGGAUGUGCCCUGGGACAGGACAGGCCUUGGCUGUGACAGAAAACGACGCUGACCCGUUCCCAGCAUGCCUGCACUCCCUAACAGCCAAGUCCAAAGGAGGAGAAGUGGCCUUGCCAUAGCUCAGGCCCUCUCACUGCACACCAGCCGGGGAAAGGGAUGUCACGGGGGAACCAACCAGCCCCAGCCCCAGCCUCGCGGCAAGCAGUCAGAAUAGUCACUUCUGGCCGCUCCCCAGCCUGAGCCUGGGGUGGCCCAACGCCGUUACCUGCUGCUGGGCGAAGAAGUCCUUGACCAGGGAGCCCAUGACCUGCUGCGGGGACCGGGCGGUGCUGAUGUGGGGGAGGAUGAAGCUGCCGUGGGUCUUCUCGGCAUAGCAGAUCCAGCCUGAGGCGACAGGGGCACACGGGGCUGGCGGGGGCGCACGGCGGCCCCCGCACCCGCAGGCAGCAGCACGACAUUCUGGAGGCGGGCCCGCUCACACAGGAGAUCACGAUGACAUUAAAGAGUGCUCGUUCCUGUUCUUCCCACCACCACGUGGAGCUCAGCGUGCACGCAACACCGCCUAGGGACCUGAGGUGACUGCGGGUGGCUCCCAAGGGAGGGCAGCCCCUUCUCCACAAAAGGCCAUUUGUGCCAACAUUUCUAACCCGUCCUGCGAAACUGGCUUGCGUCUCCACUCCCUAUCCCCCGCCUUGUCAUCUGUGUCCAUAUCAUGUCACAUUUUAACUUAACUCGAACUUGACUCUCACACCACCCACACCAUGAGCACACCUGGGCAGGCGGAGGCCAGCAGGGGCAGGGCCUGUCUGCAGUCGGCCUGUCCUCGGAAUCGCCGCACAAACUCUCGCUGGCUCUCCAGGAGGCUGAAGUGCCUUGAGAAGGCGGUGUCGAAGACAAAGUGCACCCCUGGAAGGUGAAGGUGGGUGCCUGGCUAACCCCGCGCGGGAUGCCCACGCGAGUACACGCCUGUGUGUGGACCACCGUGGUGCUGCUGGGGGACGUGUGUGGCACCCGCUUCCCGUGCCAAAGCCCCCGCCCCACUGUGGGGACCUCCUUAAGCCGCGUUGCCUCGGCAUCCCCUGCGAAUGCAGGCCUUGCUUUCCCACCCCAGAGGCAGGGCAGCCGCUUGGCAGCUCAGUCCUCCACCCUCCCAGCUCCUUAGCAUGGCUGGUUCAGGGAACUGCCACGUGCGCUGCUCCCGGUGACCCUCCCUAGGGCACAGCUGGACGUGGCCUGCUGGACUGGCCCCUCGGACCCUGAGUGUGCAGACCUGCCACGGUGGCCGCCCCUCACACACAGCAGGACUCCUGGGACAGGCCCGCCGGCUCCACGCCCAGCAAUUAGAACUGCUUGGUAAACCUGCCUGAUCAUGCCCUGGACCCCAGCAGAGGCACCAGCGCAUGGGUCCCUCUCUCUCUGCCUGACCUGUCAUUCCUGCCUUGUGUAACCCAUGGUUGGAGGACUGCCUUCAGACUCACUGUGCCCCACCUGCCCAUGAUCUGUAAGUAAAAAUCUUUGAACUUACUUCCUAUUCCGGUGGGGCGAAACCCACACCUUCCACCUGGAGAACCACGGGCUGCCCCAGGCCAGGUUUUCCCUGAGACACCAGGUCAGGCUCCCAGUGCCAGAGCACUGCUCAGGCACCAACUGGACGUGGGUGUGGGUCAGACAAGAGCCAUGGGGCACCUGCCAGUGUCAACAGGUUUCCAAUGUGAGGGACCCAGGACACAGUUGGAUGACAGGCAGUCUGCCGGGUACAAAGCACACAGCCCUGCCUCACUGGGAACGAAGGGACUGGACGUGGCGGUUACCCGUGAAAGGCACACAGUAGCCAUGAGGUCCAGACCCUUCAUUCCCAGUGAGCCACCGGGCACAGGAGCCUGGUUAGCUGGGGGCUCUCAAGACACCCAAGCCCAGCUCCAGGCACACAACCGAAGUCCGCCGAAGCUGGCCUUAGCUGAACCCAGCAGAGCCCCGGAGAGAGUGCCUUAAUAUCAUCAGCUAAAAAAGUACAAGGAGUUGGUCAGCCCCAGCUUACAGAAAGUGCACAGUCAGAAUGCAGACGUUUUCUGUGAGAAGGCGCUGCUCUCAAA